Molecule: transfer-messenger RNA, 355 nt
Filed under: Chitinispirillales bacterium
Lineage: Bacteria; Pseudomonadati; Fibrobacterota; Chitinispirillia; Chitinispirillales
Rfam family: transfer-messenger RNA
About the family: Bacterial tmRNA, also known as 10Sa RNA or SsrA, is named for its dual tRNA and mRNA-like properties. Its role is to liberate the mRNA from a stalled ribosome. To accomplish this part of the tmRNA is used as a reading frame that ends in a translation stop signal.
Source: RNAcentral
GGGGGUGUACUGGUUUUCGACGGGGGAUGAGAGGCACUGGACAGCAUGCCGAGGACUAUCGGUUGGCCUCGUUAAUCAUCCGAUAAAACAAACAAAUGCCGAAGAAAACGUUUCUUUCGCAAUGGCUGCCUAAUUAAAGGCGGCAACUCAAUCGCGAAGCGCGUCCGUACGCGGUUGAGCAGCUAGGGCGCUGGCUCGCGGGAUGAACCAUCCCGCGGGUGAGACUAGGGUUCUAGCCCCUUCCGAAGCCUGCCUGUCGGCGCCGGCGGGGGUGAGAUUAAAAGAGAGGCUAAGCAUGUAGCGGUUCGUGUUAAUUGUCUUUCGGACAGGGGUUCAACUCCCCUCACCUCCAUGU